GAUGAACGCUGGCGGCGUGCCUAAUACAUGCAAGUCGAGCGAACAGACGAGGAUCUUGCUCCUCUGACGUUAGCGGCGGACGGGUGAGUAACACGUGGCUAACCUACCUAUAAGGCUGGGGUCACUUCGGGAAACCGGAGCUAAUACCGGAUAAUAUGUUGAACCGCAUGGUUCAAUAGUGCACGCCGGUUUUGCUGUCACUUAUAGAUGGAUCCUGGCCGGAUUAGCUAGUUGGUACGGUAAAGGCUUACCAAGGCAACGAUGCGUAGCUGACCUGAGAGGAUGAUCAGUCACACUGGAACUGAGACACGGUCCAGACUCCUACGGGAGGCAGCAGUGGGGAAUAUUGGACAAUGGGCGAAAGCCUGAUCCAGCCAUGCCGCGUGUGUGAAGAAGGUCUUCGGAUUGUAAAGCACUUUAAGUUGGGAGGAAGGGCAGUAAGUUAAUACCUGGCUGUUUUGACGUUACCAACAGAAUAAGCACCGGCUAACUUCGUG
This 497-nucleotide ribosomal RNA is filed under the name uncultured bacterium. RNAcentral's name for it is "partial 16S ribosomal RNA". It matches the Rfam family "Bacterial small subunit ribosomal RNA", at positions 28 to 507 of the family's 1533-position model. The record is from RNAcentral.